Molecule: ribosomal RNA, 275 nt
Filed under: uncultured bacterium
Lineage: Bacteria
Description: partial 16S ribosomal RNA
Rfam family: Bacterial small subunit ribosomal RNA
Source: RNAcentral
GCGUGAGUGAUGAAGGCCUUAGGGUUGUAAAGCUCUUUUACCCGCGACGAUGAUGACGGUAGCGGGAGAAUAAGCCCCGGCUAACUUCGUGCCAGCAGCCGCGGUAAUACGAAGGGGGCUAGCGUUGUUCGGAGUUACUGGGCGUAAAGGGCGCGUAGGCGGCGCAUCAAGUCAGGCGUGAAAGCCCUGGGCUCAACCCGGGAAUUGCGCUUGAGACUGGUGUGCUUGAGUACGGGAGAGGAUAGUGGAAUUCCCAGUGUAGAGGUGAAAUUCGU